CCUACGGGUGGCUGCAGUCGAGAAUCAUUCACAAUGGGGGAAACCCUGAUGGUGCGACGCCGCGUGGGGGAAUGAAGGUCUUUGGAUUGUAAACCCCUGUCAUGUGGGAGCAAAUUAAAAAGAGAGUACCACAAGAGGAAGAGACGGCUAACUCGGUGCCAGCAGCCGCGGUAAUACAGAGGUCUCAAGCGUUGUUCGGAAUCACUGGGCGUAAAGCGUGCGGAGGCGGUUGCGUAAGUCGGGUGUGAAAGGCGCAGGCUCAACCCGCGGAAGGCACAUGAGACUGCGAGACUAGAGUGAUGGAGGGGUAACCGGAAUUCUCGGUGUAGCAGUGAAAUGCGUAGAUAUC
This 349-nucleotide ribosomal RNA is filed under the name uncultured bacterium. RNAcentral describes it as "partial 16S ribosomal RNA". It matches the Rfam family "Bacterial small subunit ribosomal RNA", at positions 338 to 698 of the family's 1533-position model. The record is from RNAcentral.